RNAcentral lists this ribosomal RNA (533 nucleotides) under uncultured archaeon. RNAcentral's name for it is "bacterial SSU rRNA". It matches the Rfam family "Archaeal small subunit ribosomal RNA", at positions 345 to 879 of the family's 1478-position model. The record is from RNAcentral.
AAACUUUGCAAUGUGCGAAAGCACGACAAGGUUAAUCCGAGUGGUUUCUGCUAAAGGAACCUUUUGUCAGUCCUAGAAACACUAACGAAUAAGGGGUGGGCAAGUUCUGGUGUCAGCCGCCGCGGUAAAACCAGCACCUCAAGUGGUCAGGAUGAUUAUUGGGCCUAAAGCAUCCGUAGCCGGCUCUGUAAGUUUUCGGUUAAAUCUGUACGCUUAACGUACAGGCUGCCGGGAAUACUGCAGAGCUAGGGAGUGGGAGAGGUAGACGGUACUCGGUAGGAAGGGGUAAAAUCCUUUGAUCUAUUGAUGACCACCUGUGGCGAAGGCGGUCUACCAGAACACGUCCGACGGUGAGGGAUGAAAGCUGGGGGAGCAAACCGGAUUAGAUACCCGGGUAGUCCCAGCUGUAAACUAUGCAAACUCAGUGAUGCAUUGGCUUGUGGCCAAUGCAGUGCUGCAGGGAAGCCGUUAAGUUUGCCGCCUGGGAAGUACGUACGCAAGUAUGAAACUUAAAGGAAUUGGCGGGGGAGCAC